UAACCCAAUACAUAUCUUUCAUUUUUCAUCCAUUAACAUCACAAGACUCAUAAUUUCAUCAAUGGCUCAACUCAAAAUCAUUAACAAUAUCAGAAAUUAGGGCAUGGGCUUGAUAAAAUACAAUGCAACGAUUUCAAAAACAGAACAAAAUUCAUACCUCAAUUGAGCUUUAGCAUGGCCGAACCCUAGAUGGUUCUUUUUCUUUUCU
Molecule: long non-coding RNA, 208 nt
Filed under: Gossypium barbadense (sea-island cotton)
Lineage: Eukaryota; Viridiplantae; Streptophyta; Magnoliopsida; Malvales; Malvaceae
Description: long non-coding RNA (GBAR_LNC001536)
Source: RNAcentral